RNAcentral lists this ribosomal RNA (253 nucleotides) under uncultured bacterium. RNAcentral's name for it is "partial 16S ribosomal RNA". It matches the Rfam family "Bacterial small subunit ribosomal RNA", at positions 524 to 776 of the family's 1533-position model. The record is from RNAcentral.
UACGUAGGGGGCUAGCGUUGUCCGGAAUCAUUGGGCGUAAAGCGCGUGUAGGCGGUCCGGUAAGUCCGCUGUGAAAGUCGGGGGCUCAACCCUCGGAUGCCGGUGGAUACUGUCGGGCUUGAGUACGGAAGAGGCGAGUGGAAUUCCUGGCGUAGCGGUGAAAUGCGCAGAUAUCAGGAAGAACACCUAUGGCGAAGGCAGCACUCUGGGACGGUACUGACGCUGAGACGCGAAAGCGUGGGGAGCGAACAGG